RNAcentral lists this ribosomal RNA (434 nucleotides) under uncultured bacterium. RNAcentral's name for it is "bacterial SSU rRNA". It matches the Rfam family "Bacterial small subunit ribosomal RNA", at positions 958 to 1392 of the family's 1533-position model. The record is from RNAcentral.
AACGCGAAGAACCUUACCUGGUCUUGACAUCCCGCUGACCGGCUCGUAAUGGAGCCUUCCCUUCGGGGCAGUGGAGACAGGUGGUGCAUGGUUGUCGUCAGCUCGUGUCGUGAGAUGUUGGGUUAAGUCCCGCAACGAGCGCAACCCCUAUCUUUAGUAGCCAGCAGUUCGGCUGGGCACUCUAGAGAGACUGCCAGGGAUAACCUGGAGGAAGGUGGGGAUGACGUCAAAUCAUCAUGCCCCUUAUGACCAGGGCUACACACGUGCUACAAUGGCGUAAACAAAGGGAGGCGACCCCGCGAGGGCAAGCAAAUCCCAAAAAUAACGUCUCAGUUCGGAUUGUAGUCUGCAACUCGACUACAUGAAGCUGGAAUCGCUAGUAAUCGCGAAUCAGAAUGUCGCGGUGAAUACGUUCCCGGGUCUUGUACACACCG